Molecule: non-coding RNA, 3307 nt
Organism: Monodelphis domestica (gray short-tailed opossum)
Lineage: Eukaryota; Metazoa; Chordata; Mammalia; Didelphimorphia; Didelphidae
Source: RefSeq, a predicted model, not a curated record
UUUACACUCAUCCCUAUUGCACUUUGUUAUUAGAAUUCAGCAUGUUGAGACCCUUUCGGGUCCUGCCUCUUGGCCCCUUCGCUAGAUGUCACGUGCCAAUUUAACGCUCGGGCCAGAACCAUUGACACUGACGCUGAAUCUGACGGGUGCCCAGACUGAACUAGCGUCUCGGGGUCUCCCGCUGCCCCACCAGGCGAACAUGAGAUUUUUGAUCAGAACCAGCAUUAAAAGCAAUAAUGAAAGGCAAGGUCAAAACAAAGAGGAACUUACCCUAUCAACCUUCAUGAUCUGGAAUCGCUGAGAUAUAUCUGCAGUGUUGGCUGGCAGCCGAGACCUCCCUGACACAAACCUCAUGAAAAGGACUCUCUCUUCAUUGGAGAACUCUUCCAAGGUAUGCCAGAACCACUGCACCAACUGAUGCUGUUCAUCCACUUCCCUGUAUCGGACAACUUUCUUCAGAACCUCAACAGAGAUCUCAGGCAUUCCACAGACCAUCUGCUCUAGCUGCUUUGCAGUCAAGAGGGAUAACAAGGGGACUGGGAUGAUCCAUGACAUUCCUUCUCGGACAGCAGCUACCUGAAGCCCCAAAAGAGUUUGAAGGACAAUUCAAUGAUCUCCUGUUUAGCCACACAUGAUACUUGUAAGGAAUGAUUUCCUUCCACUCCUCAGGAUCUUCCCUUUGUCAAGCCACAAAUCUCCAAAUGCACCAGGACAUUACUUUGAAUUUUCCCAACCUGGAAUGUUCUCCCUUCUCCUCUGUGAAAUCACUUUACAUCCUAUUUUUUAGUCACUUAUUGUUAUAUGAAUGUCUUGACUUUUCUACAAGACUAAGACCCUUGAAGACAAGGACUGUGUCCACUAGUUUCUUUUAUUUCUCUCAUAACAACCAGCACAACACUGAGGCACAUAUGGCAGGCCCUCAUUUAUAACUGUGGAAAUGGCUGGAUGCUGCACAGAAUAUUUACAAGAGAUAGAAGUCUGGUGUGGUACAAUGAAAAGAGCAUCAGAUCUGGAGUCAAAGCACCAGACUCAAAUCACACAACUGAGAUUUAUACCCUGUGUGACUAAAAGGCAAAUCACUUCACCCUCCUGGGUUUCAGUCUCCUCAUCUAUAAAAUGAAAGAGGGUUGGAGUAGAUAACCUCAGUGGUCUCUUCAAGCUGAAUAUCUAUAAUACUGGGUUUGUAGGUAUGUACAAGAUGAUCCACAUUCUAGAAGCUUAUUAGUAAGACUCAUAUUAUACAUACAUUAGAUAGAAUAAUAAUAAUAAUAAAAAAAAACUAAUGACAUUUACAUAAUACUUUUACAAUUCACAAAACAUUUCUCACAGUAGCAUUCAGAAAAAGGUGGUACAAGUAUUACCACAGAUGUGGACAACUGAGGAUCUGAAAAUUUUAUAUUAUUUGUUCAUGGUCUUGGCUAAUAUUCUAUGCUAGAUUCAAUUCCCAACCCAAGGCACUUUUUCUCCUAGGCCACACUGCCUCCCAAUGACAUAUGACAACUGUAUACAGUUAAUUUUAUGUUUUACAUAAAUUUUAAUUUAAUUCAAAAUCAUAAACUUAAUAUUCUUAGAAACUGAAGUCAUGCAAUGUAAGCAAAUACACAUCUAUGAUUGCCAGUAUCAGUUAUUAUACUAGGCAGGUCUAUGCCCCAAAAGAGUUUAUAUUCUAUAGGGAGAGACAAUGUAUAAAACCAAUUAAAUGCAUACAAAAGAAAUACAAAGUAAGUUGAGUGAGAGGAGACAGUAGCAGAGGGAAAAAAGAGAGGUCUCAUAAAGAAGGUAAGGUUUAUCCUGAGCUUUGGAGGAAAUUCAGGAGUCUAAAGGGUGGAAGUCAGUAUAUUUCAGGCAACGUAGACUGGAGACAACAUGUGUUGUAGUCAAUGACUGCAGCACCUCAUAAAUAUAAUAUCAUGUGUAAGGAAUAGCAAAGCAAAUAGAAAAGGCAAGGAAUAGUGAGGCAGUAGGUCUGGUUGGUCUAAAGAGUCCAAACAGAGGAGUUUUUAUUUGAUCUUAUAUGUGAGAGGGAGUCAAUGGAGUUUAUGAAACAAGGAAGUUACAUAGUCCCAUCUGUGUUUUAGGAAUAUCUCUUUGGCAACUAUAUUGAGGAUGGAUUAGAGAGGGGAGAUCUUUGAGGUUAGGAAACUAAUUUGUAUACUAAUGAAAUAGACCAGGCAAGAGGGGAUAAGAGGCUUGAACAAGAGUACUUGAGAGAAGGGGUUGGAUGCAAGUGACAUCAAGAAGACAUUGCAAAUGAUUAGACAUUUGAGGUGAUGGUGAGAGAGAGUUGAGGAUGACUCCAAAGUUUAUACCCAUGUGGUGGAAGAAUUUAACACAAAUAAGUAAAUUCAGGAAGAGGUCUAGGAAUGGGGGAAAAAGAAAAUUCUUGUAUUAGUCAUGUCAAAUAUGAGAUAUCUAUAAGUUACCCAGAUCAAAAUGUCCAAAAAGGAGUUCUUAAUAUAGAAAAGAGAUAAAGAUUAGAUAUAGAGGUCUAGAAGUCAUCUAUGUAAAGAUCAUUGAACCCAUAAGAACUGAUGAGUUUACCAAGAUUAUAGAAAAAUAAAAUAGGAUUCAGAACAAAUCAUCUGCGUAUAUUCAAGCCAAAAAACAUGAUUCACUAACACAAUAGUAGAGCAAAAUUUGACUACUAAAGCUGACUCCUGUUUUCAAUGAGAACAAGAAUAAAAAACAGCAACAAUAACUAGGGUUACUACAAGUUACUACCCCCAUUUUAUAGAAAAGGAAAUUGAGUUGUAAAUGGCCACAGUUAAUAGGUAUAAGAGGAAGGAUUUAAAUCUAGGUCUUCCUGAAUUCAAGUCCAGAAUUCUAUCCAUUAUGCCCUCUAGUGUUACUAUAAUCUCCUGAAAAUAGAAGUUUUAAUACCUGCUUAAUAUGAACAGGGGUUACUUAAAAACUGCUAUCAUGAAAAAUGGAGAGCACUGAAAAUUUAAAACUAAACUUUUCAAAUACUCAAGAGAAUAUCAUAAAGCCUACUAGAUUUAACAAAUACUUUUUCUGCAGAGGAUAUCAUUAAGAGGCUAGCACUGGAUUUUAUAACUAAAUCCUCAUCCAAUAAAGGAUUUAAAAUUCAGAUUAAAAAUAACCUCAGCCUCAUAAAGGCAUGUUUCUAUCCAGUGAAGAACUGGAAGACUAAGAUUUCUUAUGUACUGUUUAUAGUUGCUUUAUGAGACACCAGCAGCAUCUACUGUACAAAGUAACCAAAAAGCAUGUCUGCCAUUGAUACUGCAAUGAUACUGCAAUGAUAAGCAACAUUUUUGCCCAGGUAAAAUUAUAUAAUGUGGUUAUAAAG